CUGGCAGCUGCGGGCACCGAGGCCGGCAUGCAGCGGUUGCCUCUGAGCGCGAUGCUGAGCUCCCGAGGCCCGAGGGGCUGCAGCGCCUGCUGCUCAUCAACAACGCAGGUGAGACUCCGGUCCAGACCCCGGCUGCGAGCUCUCACCUCAUCGCCUUUUGGCCACUCUUGGGGAUGUUUCCAAAGGCUUCCUCAACGUGAAUGACCUAGCUGAGGUGAACAACUACUGGGCUCUGAACCUGACCUCCAUGUUCUGUUUGACCUCCGGCACCUUGAAUGCCUUCCGGGAUAGCCCUGGCCUGAGCAAGACUGUGGUUAACAUCUCAUCUCUGUGUGCCCUGCAGCCCUACAAGGGCUGGGGUCUGUACUGUGCGGGGAAGGCUGCCCGAGACAUGCUCUACCAGGUCCUGGCUGCUGAGGAACUGAGUGUGCGGGUGCUGAGCUAUGCUCCAGGUAGGUGGGUGCUCCUGACAGUGCUGUCCCUAGACUUAGCUGGUACCUUUCUGCCACACCACCUCCAAUAGGAUCUGUGUGACAAGUGCCACAGAGUGAGGAGAUUGACCUCAAAAUGGGGAGGCCUCCUGGAAGCCAUUAUGGAACUCUUUGCCGGAGAAAAAAUUAUUGAGCUGUAGUUCUCAUGGUGAUCUAUCUGUUUUGUUUUUUCUUAUUCCUUUUCUUAUUUACAUGUUCUGAUAGCCUAGACCAAG
This 706-nucleotide long non-coding RNA is filed under the name Mus musculus (house mouse). Its description in RNAcentral is "predicted gene, 63627". Lineage: Eukaryota; Metazoa; Chordata; Mammalia; Rodentia; Muridae. The record is from RNAcentral.